UCCCAUCUAGGAAGUGAGGAGCGCCU
Molecule: non-coding RNA, 26 nt
Filed under: Homo sapiens (human)
Lineage: Eukaryota; Metazoa; Chordata; Mammalia; Primates; Hominidae
Source: RNAcentral